Molecule: long non-coding RNA, 1217 nt
Organism: Suricata suricatta (meerkat)
Lineage: Eukaryota; Metazoa; Chordata; Mammalia; Carnivora; Herpestidae
Exons: 7
Source: RefSeq, a predicted model, not a curated record
UAAUUAUGAAUUCUUCAGCAUGAUUUUUCCAGAAGCCUUGCCAUAAAAUGAAAAUUGUUUGGACAUUUUCAGCUGUGAAGAAUUAGCUUGGGUCUUAAUUUUCAUGAACCUCCAAAGUGCCGGGAAACAGGAAUUCACCUACCUUGUUGUAACUGCAGCCCAUACAUACCUUCAACUUCUCCUUUUGCUCCCUCUGUAGAAGCAUCUCCAGAGCCGCCUCCGUUUUACAGACGAGAAGAUGACAGAGCACAGCAGCAGCAGAUUAUUCACCCAGAGGCUCCAAAGUAGAUGGGACGAAACCACAAGUUUCCUUUUUCUUCUGAAGCUCAUUUAGCCAAAACAUAGGCUGCUGAAUAUUAAGCUGUGAAGCAUAUUAUCAGUGUGUUUAAGGGAGGCUAUUCUUAUGGGAUUGCCAAUUAUAUAGCAGGAAGGUUUGAAAUUCUUACAAGAUCAUCCAAUCUUGUGAGAUGUACAGCUCUGUUUUUGUAUCCAGCAAGCCCUUCCAGUGUCAGUUGCAGAUGUGACCAUGAACACAGAAUUCUGGCAGACGCACCAUGCAUGGGACCUCAGUAAGACUCCAAAUGAGUGCAAAAUAAAUACAUUAUGGAAGCCACGUGACCAGCAGAGACUUCUUGGCCCUCUUCGAGACACAAGUUUGUGUUCAGUCAUUCAGCAUAUCUGGAUGAUCAUCACUUUUCCCUUGUUUUUAACUCCUCUGGCAUGUUUAAGAUGAACUACUUCCCAAAGAAAACAAGCUCCACAGCGGCAGAGACUGGGUUGCCUUUCUUAUUCCCUGUUCUAUGCCAGCCUUGGAACAGAAUCCAGACAUAGUCAUUCAAGGUCCAUUGAUUGAGUGUGUAAAGAUUGUAUGAUUACAAGAAUGGAGUUGGAACUAUUUGAGACUAAAGGCAAAUCUGAUGAAGAAGAAUUCUUUCCCGGUGGGCUUGUUUAUGUUCAAGCCUAGAUUGCCUUCCUCUCUGCUGUCUCCCAAGGUCACAAGAAGGCUCUGAAACCAGACUCAACUUCAGACACAGCCUGGUGAAAUCCUUGGACUUGGUGCUUAUUUCUCAGUGCGUAUUUUCUCGGUGAUUUUGUAUCCUGAAGUUAUUUAGUUGUAUGUAGGGCUUUAUGCUUACCAGAACGAAGAGGAAAGAAGUCAAACUCUAUAUGGCCCAACACCAUGGACAGCCCUUAGAAUAAAGUAAAGAAAGAUGGUU